CAGGAGUCGAACCUAUGCUUGAGGGAUCAAAACCCCCCGUGAUUCCAUUUCACUACUCUCUA
Molecule: transfer RNA, 62 nt
Filed under: Arenophryne rotunda (sandhill frog)
Lineage: Eukaryota; Metazoa; Chordata; Amphibia; Anura; Myobatrachidae
Description: partial tRNA-Gln
Source: RNAcentral